Molecule: ribosomal RNA, 496 nt
Filed under: uncultured bacterium
Lineage: Bacteria
Description: partial 16S ribosomal RNA
Rfam family: Bacterial small subunit ribosomal RNA
Source: RNAcentral
GACGAACGCUGGCGGCGUGCCUAAUACAUGCAAGUUGAGCGCUGAAGGUUGGUACUUGUACCAACUGGAUGAGCAGCGAACGGGGGAGUAACGCGUGGGGAAUCUGCCUUUGAGCGGGGGACAACAUUUGGAAACGAAUGCUAAUACCGCAUAAAAACUUUAAACACAAGUUUUAAGUUUGAAAGAUGCAAUUGCAUCACUCAAAGAUGAUCCCGCGUUGUAUUAGCUAGUUGGUGAGGUAAAGGCUCACCAAGGCGAUGAUAGAUAGCCGACCUGAGAGGGUGAGCGGCCACAGUGGGACUGAGACACGGCCCAAACUCCUACGGGAGGCAGCAGUAGGGAAUCUUCGGCAAUGGACGAAAGUCUGACCGAGCAACGCCGCGUGAGUGAAGAAGGUUUUCGGAUCGUAAAACUCUGUUGGUAGAGAAGAACGUUGGUGAGAGUGGAAAGCGCAUCAAGUGACGGUAACUACCCAGAAAGGGACGGCUAACUACGU